This 73-nucleotide transfer RNA is filed under the name Candidatus Yanofskybacteria bacterium RIFCSPHIGHO2_01_FULL_42_12. RNAcentral's name for it is "tRNA-Lys". It matches the Rfam family "tRNA". From Rfam's summary of the family: Transfer RNA (tRNA) molecules are approximately 80 nucleotides in length. Lineage: Bacteria; Candidatus Yanofskyibacteriota. RNAcentral also lists the same sequence under 1 other name. The record is from RNAcentral.
CCGCCCAUAGCUCAGUUGGUAGAGCAACGGACUUUUAAUCCGGCGGUCGCAGGUUCGAUCCCUGCUGGGCGGA